This 421-nucleotide ribosomal RNA is filed under the name Fusobacteriota bacterium. RNAcentral describes it as "Fusobacteria bacterium partial 16S ribosomal RNA". It matches the Rfam family "Bacterial small subunit ribosomal RNA", at positions 355 to 776 of the family's 1533-position model. The record is from RNAcentral. Lineage: Bacteria; Fusobacteriati; Fusobacteriota.
UGGGGAAUUUUGCACAAUGGGGGGAACCUUGAUGCAGCGACGCCGCGUGAGGGAUGGAGGCCUUCGGGUUGUGAACCUCUUUCGCUCGUGUGCAAGCCGCUAUUUGGGUAGUGGUGAGUGUAGCGGGUAAAGAAGCGCCGGCUAACUACGUGCCAGCAGCCGCGGUAAUACGUAGGGCGCGAGCGUUGUCCGGAUUUAUUGGGCGUAAAGGGCUUGUAGGCGGUUUGUCGCGCCUGUCGUGUAAUCCUCUGGCUUAACUGGGGGUGUGCGGUGGGUACGGGCAGGCUUGAGUGCGGGAGGGGAGAUUGGAAUUCCUGGUGUAGCGGUGGAAUGCGCAGAUAUCAGGAGGAACACCGGUGGCGAAGGGGGGUCUCUGGGCCGUUACUGACGCUGAGGAGCGAAAGCGUGGGGAGCGAACAGG